GUUGCUGCGUUGUGUCACUGUGUUCUUAAGCAGAAAAUUCAACUUAGAGUCAGCAUGAUACAUCGAAGGGCAUCAAUUUCAUUAGAGUCAUCUUUUAAUGUUAGUGUCUUGUGGAAAUACACAAUCAGGAAGAAUUCCCCAAAUUUGUGUUUCCUGUGCUGAGCUGUACUUGGAAGACACUGGAGACAAACUGAAUAAGAGGGGAAAACCUGAGACCUGUUGAGAUCCGCGCGGCUGACAGAGCUGGGAGCCAGCAGGCGCUGCAGAGCUGUGCAGUGUUCAGCUGAAACUUGAUCACACGUCAUUGUGCAGUGAACAGUGUUUAUAGGCUUGACUUCCGCCAUCUGGUACCCACCACCCGCCCUGACCUUGACCUGGGCCGUCGGACGCCCCCGCGGCCCUCGGGAAUUCCUGCGGACACUCCCGGGACCCCCGGAGCGAACCCCGGAACACGCAGGGACCACGGGCCGCCGACGCCUCCGCGCAAAGUGAUUUCUCGGAAAGCCGAGCGCUUCGAAGAAGGCGGGCCCGGCGCGCCGCGCCCCGGGGGCGGCCUGUCCCGCCCUCCA
Dama dama (fallow deer) is the source of this 569-nucleotide long non-coding RNA. RefSeq lists it as uncharacterized. Lineage: Eukaryota; Metazoa; Chordata; Mammalia; Artiodactyla; Cervidae. The record is from RefSeq and is a predicted model, not a curated record. The transcript has 3 exons.